GUCUAGCUAGUAACAUCCAAGUGUCAUGGCCUUUCCUGAUUGCAGAUAAGUGCAUCAUAAACACAUCUCAAGGAUGGAGCAUAAGGAGAUGUACUAAUGAGCCUAAAGUUGCUAACAGAUUCUGAUGGCAGACAUGACAAUUAGUAUACUAUCGUCAUAAACAGAGUGAUGCCAUUAUCAACUGACUUCAACAGAAAAAAAGCAUAAAUAAAUCAGUUUGACGCAAUUGCCAGCC
Long non-coding RNA from Gavialis gangeticus (Gharial), 235 nucleotides. RefSeq lists it as uncharacterized. The transcript is spliced from 3 exons. The record is from RefSeq and is a predicted model, not a curated record. Lineage: Eukaryota; Metazoa; Chordata; Crocodylia; Gavialidae.